This 1121-nucleotide unclassified non-coding RNA is filed under the name Hevea brasiliensis (rubber tree). The record is from RNAcentral. Lineage: Eukaryota; Viridiplantae; Streptophyta; Magnoliopsida; Malpighiales; Euphorbiaceae.
UAGAGUUUUAAAUCUUUGACAAUAGUUGUUAUAAACCUUGAGGCAAGGUUGAAGGCAUUAUGGAAUAAUGGAAAAAACCAUAGUUCUCAUUCUCUCUGAGCGUGGUUAUACCAUAUGAAAUUCUAUGCAUAUUUGAGAAUGAUGCCAUAUGAUUUCUUGGGCCAUAUGCAUACUUUUUUGGUUGCCUCCUAGGAUGGUUUUGGAAUAGGAUAAAGAGUAACUGCAAUUUUUUUUCAUGGAUCAGUAUAUUGUUUUUGUUUUUAAUCUGCUUUGCCUGACAGAUGAAAAAGGGGACAUAUGCUAGGGUAAUAGGGACCUUAUUAGGAAUAUGAAAGUGAGGGAGUGCAACCUGUAUUUGUAGACAUUAAAGGCUCCAAGAUUAUUGUGAUCAAGACAAGCAAUUUUUUUUCUGCAGCUUUGGAUUGUGAGACUGAAUUUAACUGAUUUUGGAUCAAGGUGUAGUUGAGUUGAGUACAUGGUUUUUGGCUUGUGAGACAAAAUUUCCUGGACUUAAAUCUUCAAUAAAUGUUACUGUGUUUUUGGCUGGGAACCUGUUGAAGGGAUAAGGAUUUGUUAUAGUGAAAUGUGGCAAGUUUUCUUUGUUGCUAUGCACAAUGCCUAAAUGAUUGGCUGGUCAAACGUGGCUUAGGGCUCUGUUUGUGAACUGGGUCCACCUAAAUGAUUGGCUGGUCAAUGCAGAUACUUGUGAACCAGAUGUUACCCAGUCUAGGUUAGUGAAGCCAAACUUGAUGCAAAUUCAUUGUAAAUUGCUAAACUCAGCUGAAGUUUGGUGAGUUGGACCAAGUUGGCUCAUUCUGAUCAGUUGAGGGGGAAAUGGACCAAAAUAUGAUAGUUGAUAGGGUUUGAAUCUGGUCUUUUAUGGUAGUUUCUCUGGCAAGGCUGAGUGAUGGGCAAAACUCCUGCAAGUUGUCUUCCUCUUGCCUGUCCGAGACUGUCCUGUUUCUUGCUGUUGUGAUACGCCAGGGAAACUCACCUUGCAAUUCGUAAAAUUGUUGUUGAUUCUACUGUCAUAACCUUUUCUUUUUAUUUAUUUUUCAUCAUUUAAUGUAUCUUCUGACCACUACUUGUUUCCAUUCAGGUUGCUAUUCCAGUGGUACCCA